UACGAAGGGGGCUAGCGUUGCUCGGAAUCACUGGGCGUAAAGCGCACGUAGGCGGCUUGUUAAGUCAGGGGUGAAAUCCUGGAGCUCAACUCCAGAACUGCCUUUGAUACUGGCGAUCUUGAGUCCGGGAGAGGUGAGUGGAACUGCGAGUGUAGAGGUGAAAUUCGUAGAUAUUCGCAAGAACACCAGUGGCGAAGGCGGCUCACUGGCCCGGUACUGACGCUGAGGAGCGAAAGCGUGGGUAGCAAACAGG
This 253-nucleotide ribosomal RNA is filed under the name uncultured bacterium. RNAcentral describes it as "partial 16S ribosomal RNA". It matches the Rfam family "Bacterial small subunit ribosomal RNA", at positions 524 to 776 of the family's 1533-position model. The record is from RNAcentral.